This is an RNA transcript of Coregonus clupeaformis (lake whitefish), 1480 nucleotides long. It is a transcript of the gene named 2-hydroxyacyl-CoA lyase 1-like, with no coding region annotated. The record is from RefSeq and is a predicted model, not a curated record. NCBI's taxonomy places the organism in Eukaryota, Metazoa, Chordata, Actinopteri, Salmoniformes, Salmonidae. The transcript has 8 exons.
AAACCCCACUGAAGAAGAAAAAGCUACUCAUGUAAUGCAUGCUGGAAAGCAGACAAAAACUAAUGAUUUGCAAGAGAUCUAAACACGAUUUAUAAGCUACUGAACAACAAGUCCAAGAAAUCAUUGCUAACCGCGUUUGCACUUUGAACAGAUUUGUCGACAAUAAUAAUGGAAGAUGUGACUGGGGCUCAGCUCAUUGCAGAGGCACUAAAAGCUCAGAAUGUAGAAUAUAUGUUUGGAAUAGUUGGUGUUCCAGUCAUUGAAGUAGCUAUGGCAGCUCAAGCCUCAGGAAUCAAGUAUGUGGGAAUGCGCAAUGAACCACCUUUUUAUUACUAAACCAGCUCUCCCCAAAUCAUGUGAUAUUAACUACCCGUACAUAGACUACAGGAGCGUGUAGUGUGUGAGGGUCAGUUUCAUAGCUUUUUUGCAUUGCUAAUUAUGUCUGCCUGUCUGUCUGACCCUUUGUGUGUCUGUCUGCCUGUCUUCCUGUCUGUCCCUCUGUCUGUCUGUUCCUCUCCAGUCCAGGUGCGUGUCUAGUUGUGUCUGGACCGGGACUCAUCCAUGCACUUGGUGGAAUGGCCAACGCUAACAUGAACUGCUGGCCUGUGAUUGUUAUUGGAGGCUCCUCCGAUCAAAACCAAGAGACCACUGGGGCGUUUCAAGAGUUUCCACAGGUGGAGGCAUGCAGAUUGUACAGUAAGUUCUCUGCUAGGUCUAGCAGUCUGGAUAUGAUCUCCUCAGUGGUAGAGAAGCUUAGCAAGGUACCUUAACUGCUUCAUAAGAGCACAGCACAGCCUUAAUUGAUCUGAAUGGAAGGGUGUUUGGUCUGUCUAAGGCAGCACGCACUAGCAUGUAUGGACGUCCAGGUGCUGUAUACGUAGACAUAUCUGGGGACAUGGUCAAUGCUAAAUUGGACAGGAGCAGAGCCAGAGAGGUGCCCUGUAGUCCACCUCCUCCUGUGAGUAUGGCUGACCAUAUGGCGAUCACAGAAGCACUGGCGGUCCUGAAAGGAGCCAAACGGCCUUUACUCAUCAUUGGCAAAGGUGCAGCCCAUUGAAGAGCAGAGGGUGCUCUGAAGGAGCUGGUGGAGGGGUGUGACCUGCCCUUCCUGCCCACCCCCAUGGGUAAAGGGGUGCUGCCUGACGAUCACCCCAACUGUGUUGCUGCUGCCCGCUCCAGAGCUCUGCUCCAGUCUGAUGUUGUGGUCCUACUUGGUGCCAGACUCAACUGGAUCCUGCACUUUGGCCUUCCCCCAGGUUUGACACCCAAGUAAAGGUCAUCCAGCUAGGUCAAAGGUCACCAGUAGGGUUUCUUUUUUUUCCUUCUUUUUUUCGGAUUCCAGAUUUUCUGCUUAUUCCGUUCUGAUUUCUGGAAUCUUCCAACAGGGAUUUCUGGGAAUUUUGGGAAAGUAACUGUAAUUUUGCAACCCUAGUCACAGGUCAUUUCAUAGUGAACUACAUUUCAUUGUAAACAGGUAUAA